Molecule: long non-coding RNA, 961 nt
Organism: Myotis brandtii (Brandt's bat)
Lineage: Eukaryota; Metazoa; Chordata; Mammalia; Chiroptera; Vespertilionidae
Exons: 2
Source: RefSeq, a predicted model, not a curated record
CAACGUGCGACGGCCGGAGCGUGGAAAGGAGACAGAGUUCAGAGAAGGAAGGAGCAAACGCAGAGGAGCGGGAGGGAGCUCCGACCGCCCCUCUCUCCUAUGCUGCUUUGUUGACACCUCCUUGAAAAAGUGCUCCGCUGAAGUCGCCUGCCCUUUGUGGUUAAUCUUGCAGUAAAUCUUUAAAAGUUGCAGAUAUCCGAGGCUAAGUUAUGUCGGUCUCCUUUCCCCCACCUUAUUCCCGCGCAGUUUUUACUCAAUUCAACAACUGUUUGAUUACCAGUUAUAUCUGUCGCUGGGGCUAUUGAGAUAAAUGACAUUUCCUGUCCUCAAAGGGAAGUUGGCAAGUGUAUCUUCGACCUCCCGGAGCCUUCAAGCUAUGCUGCCCGAGAAAACAAAGUCCCUUUCUGCUCCCUGGAACUGUCUCAGGUUCCCAGGCACGGCUCCCUUUUCACUUGUCCGGUCCCGUUUCUCCACGGUUCACCUGCAAACGGGCAACAGCACCAGCCUCCCAAAGGAGCCGGAGUUCCUGCAGCCGUUUCUGUGCAAAUGUUACCCCUCCCCAAGCCCCUGAAAUGUCACUGUACGUGCAGGCCACAACCAUAAUGAAAGGAACACAUUUGGUAAAGUAUAUAACAAAUGCAAAUGAAAUUAAGCACUUAUUUGGUCUUCAUCACAAGUUAUUUGUAGUUUUUUUUUUUUGUUGUUCUGUGGGAUGGACUUCUGAGAUACCAGAUCUGAUGGCCAUGAAAAAAAUGUAAAGAUAUAGGCUGAUGAGUGACAUGUCAAGGAAGGACAUCCUGUCCCUCUCCCCUGUCGCUUCCCUUCCCAUGGCUGCUUGUGGAAAGGGCAGGAAACACAUGGUGUCUGCCAAUAACAGUGGCAAGCUCUAUUCUCCUAUAAUAUUGAAUGUUUCUGUUUCAUUAAUUCACUCUUUAUUAUAAUAAAAGUUUGAUACCUGGGC